CCAGACUAUUCAUGGCCACAGUGGACCCAUAACAGCAGUGUCCUUUGCUCCUGAUGGAAGGUAUCUAGCCACAUAUUCCAAUGCUGACAGCCACAUUUCCUUCUGGCAGAUGAACACUUCACUACUGGGCAGUAUUGGUAUGCUGAACUCUGCGCCCCAGCUCCGAUGUAUGAAAACAUACCAGGUGCCCCCUGUUCAUCCUGCUUCUCCUGGUUCACAGAAUGCAUUGAAACUAGCACGUCUGAUCUGGACCUCCAACCGUAAUGUCAUCCUUAUGGCACAUGAUGGGAAGGAACACCGAUUUAUGGUUUGAAGACACCACCUGAAUUACAUGAAACGUACUAAAGAAAUAAAAUUGUGUGUACUGUUUGCAAAGCUGGUUAAUGUUUACAUUAAGAUAUUAUUGUGUAGAUUUUUUCAUAAAAGUUUAUCAUAAUUUGCAAUGUCAACUUUCUGUGGGUUUUUGAAAAGAGAUGAAAUAGCUGCCCAACAGUCGUACCCGAUUGCUUAUUGUUUAUAUCCACCAUUGUUAGCUUCAACUCAGUUUUGUUGUGGUUACAAAGCAUUUCUUCUAUCUUGCUAUUGAUAGAAGUCAAAAAAUUGCAAUUGCUUGUAUGAUGCGUGUCUCAUGCCUUACACCAAAAACUGGGCUCUCCUGCAGCUGUCCUAAGAAAACAGUGUAAGAUAGGAAGGACAAAAGUCAUGUUUUGUCACCAGCAGCAGUUGGACUGAAGAGGACAGUUUCUAAGAGUCUCAAAAUGGUGCAGUGGCUUUCAUUUCAAGGGUUUAAACUUAAAUAACACAGGGCUAAUGGAAUAAGAGACCCAAUAUGAAAUGAGUUGGUAAAAUUUCAACCCAGCCUCUAGUAAUAGUGGAAGACAGCAUGAUGCUGUUCUAACUAGCACUCAAAAAGAUCUAAUAAAGGCUACUCGGGUAGUGGCAAAGGACUUACAGAUGCAGUACAAUUCAUUUUUCUGAAAUUGGAGAAAAAACAGGAAGCAUUAGUCUACAUUUAAUAAUACUAUACCCAAUAUAAACUGUAGGAGUUUUUGUUACAGAUAUUGGGCAACCAAUGGAAUUUUAUUUCAUUUCCAACAACUACUGCUGAAUAGAGGAUUAGACAAUUUGACUUGAUCUCAUGUCUUUUUCUCAAACAAGUUUCUCCUUUUUCAAUUAUCUAGUACCUCAGUUAAGGAGCUUAGUUCAUUGAUUUUGAAGUUCUUAAUUUUUGUCUCAACACUGCCAGUCCCUGACAACACCUUAAUGAAUUUUCCAUCCAGUUCACAAGUUUUUAUCAUCCUGCUGGCAGUGAAAGUUUUCAGGUUUUAUUUUUAUGCGGUAACAUGAGUAACCAGCAUAAGGUACAGAAUGCAGAAGUAAAUCUCCUCUGCCAUUGAAUUUGAAGCAAUUUCCAGUCAUUUGGUGCAUGUAUCAUAUGAAAUUUAAAACCCGCAACAGAUGUUCUGUUCAAUGGACAGUUGAAUCCUCUUCAGUUCUACGAAGAUCGUUAUGACCAUUUUAAUCAUCAGUUACAGGCAGAAAAUGUUUACAAUAGCUUUCAAAAACUAAAAACUGGGACCACUUUAGCUUGCUUUCUCGCAUUUUUAUUUUAAAAUAAAUUAAAUUCAGUAUGGUAAAACUUUACAGCUGCACACAAUCCCUGUUAUAUAUGCCUAACUAAUGCAUACGAGGAACUGAUGUAAAGGGUAGAGUAUGCCUUAAUGAAUUUAUAGGUUUGGACAAGUUUGCAUGUCACUGAUACAUAGAAUACUUAUUGUUGGAAAUCCUAUUGGAUGCCUUGGAAAGGUGUUGCAAAGAUCUUUUGUGCAAUGCAUUUUGUAUGAAGAAAUCAUAGCAUUCCAGCUUCUUGAAAUAUUUGGCCUGUUUCACCAGUUCAAAACUAAAUCAUUAGUAGAUUCGUACUCUUACUAGCAGCAGAGUUAGUCACCCUUACGUAUUUUUAAAAUCCUGUUAAGGCAAGUAUGUCAACAGCAUUUUUCCCCCAGUUAAAUCUAUGUAUAUUAUUGAAUCACCUGCACAGAUACAACAAAAUCCUGAUUAAUGAAUAUCUGAACAUAAAAAAUCGGCAGAUUUAGCUGUUUGGAAGGGGUUCAUGCAAGGCUGCUAUGGUGCCCUAGUAUAUAACAGUGACUUUUCUUAAAUCUGACCUACUUCAAAUAUACAGUGCUGAGAAGAAUGCUUCUGAAUGCUAUAUUUGGUAAAUAAGUAUCUAAAAUACUUUCAAAUCUAGUUCAAAUAUAUAUUUUGUUAAAUUUAGGAAAAAUUAUCUCUAAACCUGCUAAAGCCAUAAUGAUAAAAAUGCAAAACCUUGUCCUUUGCAGAGGUCAUGUGAUAUUGAAGAUGCCUGUAAUUUGAACUAGAUGUCAUAAAGAGUAUGGUUUGGGCAAAACUGUCGCUUGUCUAUUCACUUAACAGGAAUUUAUGACUGAAAGGAUUAUUAAAUAACUGAAUACAGUGGGUGGAUGCAUAACCCUUCUGUGCUAAUAAAAACCUUUUAUUUAUCAGAAAUUCAUUCAAGGGCAAAAGGCUAAGUUAAUUUUUUUAAUGAAGGAGAAAAUUACCUUUAUUAAUUCCAGGCAAAAUGUUCAGUAUUUCUUCCAAAUAACUACCCCCUCUUAAGUUUCUUCUGACAGAUGGUUCUUUUUCAUAGUGAUUUAAUAUUUAUACUUCAUGGCUUUAAAUGUGUAUUGAGAAGGUUUUGUCAUAUUGUGCAUUGUGGGUUCCACUGUUCUGCUCAUGUACAAAAUUAAUUUGCAAGCGUCUUUGAUUACCAGAUCCAAAAUCACACCAUUUUACAGAACAAGAGGAAGGUUAUUCUUUCCUGUCUGCCUUUUUGUCAUAUCAAUGGUAUUUGUUUCUUUUUUAAAGAAAUUAUCCAAUUCAUUUUUUAAAAAAAUUACGAUGACUCCUGCUCCCAUCACAAUUGCUCAGAACAGCCUAUAUCCUAAAGAUCUUUUGCAAAUAAAGAAAAUUCUGUCAA
Molecule: long non-coding RNA, 3001 nt
Organism: Rhincodon typus (whale shark)
Lineage: Eukaryota; Metazoa; Chordata; Chondrichthyes; Orectolobiformes; Rhincodontidae
Exons: 2
Source: RefSeq, a predicted model, not a curated record